GACGAACGCUGGCGGCGCGCUUAACACAUGCGAGUCGAGCGAUGAAAUUUCGACAGAUCCCUUCGGGGUGAAGAUGAAAUGGAUUAGCGGCGGACGGGUGAGUAACACGUGAGUAACCUGCCUUUGACAUUGGGAUAGCCUCGGGAAACUGGGAUUAAUACCAAAUGACACUAACUGAUCACAUGAUCAAUUAGUCAAAGAAAUUCGGUCAAAGAUGGACUCGCGGCUGAUUAGCUAGUUGGUGAGGUAACGGCCCACCAAGGCGACGAUCAGUAGCCGGCCUGAGAGGGUGAUCGGCCACAUUGGAACUGAGACACGGUCCAAACUCCUACGGGAGGCAGCAGUGGGGAAUAUUGCACAAUGGGGGAAACCCUGAUGCAGCGACGCCGCGUGAGCGAAGAAGGCCUUCGGGUCGUAAAGCUCUUUUAUGAGGGAAGAUAAUGACGGUACCUCAAGAAAAAGCCCCGGCUAACUACGUG
Molecule: ribosomal RNA, 479 nt
Filed under: uncultured bacterium
Lineage: Bacteria
Description: partial 16S ribosomal RNA
Rfam family: Bacterial small subunit ribosomal RNA
Source: RNAcentral